This 318-nucleotide ribosomal RNA is filed under the name uncultured Pseudomonadota bacterium. RNAcentral describes it as "bacterial SSU rRNA". It matches the Rfam family "Bacterial small subunit ribosomal RNA", at positions 29 to 351 of the family's 1533-position model. The record is from RNAcentral. Lineage: Bacteria; Pseudomonadati; Pseudomonadota.
AUUGAACGCUGGCGGCAUGCCUAACACAUGCAAGUCGAACGAGUAGCCGGUUUCGGCCGGCGAGAGUGGCGGACGGGUGAGUAACGCGUGGGAAUCUGCCCAGUAGUGGGGGGACAACCCGGGGAAACUCGGGCUAAUACCGCAUACGCUCUACGGAGGAAAGCGGGGGACCGUAAGGCCUGGCACUGAUGGAUGAGCCCAAGUCGGAUUAGCUAGUUGGCGGGGUAACGCCCACCAAGGCGACGAUCCGUAGCUGGUCUGAGAGGACGAUCAGCCACACUGGAACUGAGACACGGUCCAGACUCCUACGGGAGGCAG